RNAcentral lists this ribosomal RNA (695 nucleotides) under Anodonta anatina. RNAcentral's name for it is "partial 16S ribosomal RNA". Lineage: Eukaryota; Metazoa; Mollusca; Bivalvia; Unionida; Unionidae. The record is from RNAcentral.
GCAGAAAAUUAAAAUUUUACCAACAAACCUUAAAGAAAAUUUUCACUAUAUAAAGUAUUUUUUAAAAAAUUCCUAAAUUAACCAACCGCAAGGAACAACAUUCAGCUUUCUCAAGAAAUGAUAACCUCAUGUCCCUCUUGCAUCAUGGAGAAGCAACAAAACUAUAAUAACUUAUAUUCCCGAAUGAUUAUGAGCUACUAAACCCUAAAAAUCAAUGUUUCAUAAUUGAUAUAGUAACUUUUAGUAGAAGUAACAAGCCUUUCAUAUAAUCAUAUAGCUGGUUUUUCUUCAAAAGCAUCAAAGUGCUGGCUUAUAGAGUAAGCCCAGAGCCUCUAACCUAUAAAGCUUAACCUAUUGAGGACUAGCUCAAUAGGGCAUAAAAAAUAUUUUAUCCCUAAUCCCCACAAGUAGGCUUAAAAGCAGCCACCUAAUAACGUUUUAGUUAUUGAGAAUUUAUAUUAAGUAUUAAUACAACACAAUUUUAAAACUAAAGAAAUUUAACAAAAAAUUUUCCUGUUACUAAACAGGCAUUCUAUUAGUAUUUAAUAUAAGUCUAUUACUCAACAUUCCUCAAAAAAUUUGAAUCAAAACACCACUUAUUACUUUAAGCACACAAAGCGAACUCGGCAAAUUAGUUCCCUGCCUGUUUACCAAAAACAUCGUCUUUUGAUAACACCCCCAUAAAAGAUAAUGCC